RNAcentral lists this long non-coding RNA (546 nucleotides) under Malus domestica (apple). RNAcentral describes it as "long non-coding RNA (MDOM_LNC001650)". Lineage: Eukaryota; Viridiplantae; Streptophyta; Magnoliopsida; Rosales; Rosaceae. The record is from RNAcentral.
CUCUCUAUCCCGUGGCUCUCUCUCUCCUCCAUCCCGACUCUCUCUCUACACACACCCAUACGUACGGACACACCCAAAAAUCUUCCAAACUCGACGGAUCGAGGCAACCAAGGUAUGCAUCUUCAUCAUUGAGUCAUUUUAAGUCGAUUGGUACUAGUUUUAGGAAGUGAAACCCUCGAAAUCACGUGAAACCCGAACCUAUAUUUUUCGUCACUGUUCAUGCACUCGUAAUAUGUUGUGUUUCAGGGAAUUCUAAGCUUAUAGUGAGCUUAGUGAGGUCCCAAGGAAGCUCGGAGUGCUUCGUUGGAAGGAUUUGGACGUCGGGAUCACGAGGGUUAAGUUUGGCCGAUUUUGUUUGGAUUUUUCCGGUGAGAUUUCUUGAUUUUUAGAGCCUUAAACUAGUCUAUUGUGAUUCUACAUGUUGAGGGCUUUAAAUUGAUAUAUUAUACGAAGAAAAUGGUUGAGAAACGAAGGAGAACGAAGCAUUUGAAAAUUCCCCAGUUUUCCGGCCGCCGGAAAAACCAGUCCGGCGAACCAAGGUUGGGG